This is a non-coding RNA of Pelobates cultripes (western spadefoot toad), 1484 nucleotides long. Lineage: Eukaryota; Metazoa; Chordata; Amphibia; Anura; Pelobatidae. The record is from the annotation of a GenBank genome assembly.
CUGCAGUCUGUGUCACCCUGCAGUGGGAGGGACAGACUCCGUGUCCCAUAGCUCCUUCUGUCUGUGUCACCCUGCAGCGGGAGGAACAGACUCAGUGUCCCAUAGCUCCCUUCUGUCUGUCACACCCUGCAGUGGGAGGGACAGACUCCGUGUCCCAUAGCUCCUUCUGUCUGUGUCACCCUGCAGUGGGAGGGACAGAUUCCAUGUCCCAUAGCUCCUUCUGUCUGUGUCACCCUGCAGUGGGAGGGACAGAUUCCGUGUCCCAUAGCUCCUUCUGUCUGUGUAACCCUGCAGUGGGAGGGACAGACUCCGUGUCCCAUAGCUCCUUCUGUCUGUGUCACCCUGCAGUGGGAGGGACAGACUCCGUGUCCCAUAGCUCCUUCUGUCUGUGUUACCCUGCAGUGGGAGGGACAGACUCUGUGUCCCAUAGCUUCUUCUGUCUGUGUCACCCUGCAGUGGGAGGGACAGACUCUGUGUCCCAUAGCUCCUUCUGUCUGUGUCACCCUGCAGUGGGAGGGACAGACUGUGUGUACCAUAGCUCCUUCUGUCUGUGUCACCCUGCAGUGGGAGGGACAGACUGUGUGUACCAUAGCUCCUUCUGUCUGUGUCACCCUGCAGUGGGAGGGACAGACUCUGUGUCCCAUAGCUCCUUCUGUCUGUGUCACCCUGCAGUGGGAGGGACAGACUCCGUGUCCCAUAGCUCCUUCUGUCUGUGUCACACUGCAACGGGAGGGACAGACUCUGUGUCCCAUAGCUCCUUCUGUCUGUGUCACACUGCAACGGGAGGGACAUACUCCGUGUCCCAUAGCUCCCUUCUGUCUGUGUCACCCUGCAGUGGGAGGGACAGACUCCGUGUCCCAUAGCUCCUUCUGUCUGUGUCACCCUGCAGUGGGAGGGACAGACUCAGUGUCCAAUAGAUCCUUCCGUCUGUGUCACCCUGCAGUGGGAGGGACAGACUCCGUGUCCCAUAGCUCCUUCUGUCUGUGUCACCCUGCAGUGGGAGAGACAGACUCCGUGUCCCAUAGCUCCCUUCUGUCUGUGUCACCCUGCAGUGGGAGAGACAGACUCCGUGUCCCAUAGCUCCCUUCUGUCUGUGUCACCCUGCAGUGGGAGGGACAGACUCCGUGUCCUAUAGCUCCUUCUGUCUGUGUCACCCUGCAGUGGGAGAGACAGACUCCGUGUCAUUUUGUCGUUGGUGUUCUCUAGCUCUUUUCUGCCCAUGUCACCAUAUGUUUUUUCAGAUGACACCCUAUUUUAGCAGAGUUUACUGCCCUCUCUCCUCUCUCUCCAGGCUGCCUGUGCUCUGCAGGAGGUUCUCUCUGUGCCAGAAUCCGCUCCGGCUGUGAUGGAACACUACUCCCAGCUCUUCACGGCACUCCUUCUCCGUAUCAGCUCUAUGGUUGGUGUCCAGUUACCCAAAAACCUGGGCGGCUCCAAGGACAGGAAGAACUCCUCGCAACGCAGUCUGGACCCCUGCAGGUAUG